GCCGGGGGGGGUGCUAUACAUGCAGUCGUACGCUUCUUUUUCCACCGGAGCUUGCUCCACCGGAAAAAGAAGAGUGGCGAACGGGUGAGUAACACGUGGGUAACCUGCCCAUCAGAAGGGGAUAACACUUGGAAACAGGUGCUAAUACCGUAUAACAAUCGAAACCGCAUGGUUUUGAUUUGAAAGGCGCUUUCGGGUGUCGCUGAUGGAUGGACCCGCGGUGCAUUAGCUAGUUGGUGAGGUAACGGCUCACCAAGGCCACGAUGCAUAGCCGACCUGAGAGGGUGAUCGGCCACAUUGGGACUGAGACACGGCCCAAACUCCUACGGGAGGCAGCAGUAGGGAAUCUUCGGCAAUGGACGAAAGUCUGACCGAGCAACGCCGCGUGAGUGAAGAAGGUUUUCGGAUCGUAAAACUCUGUUGUUAGAGAAGAACAAGGAUGAGAGUAACUGUUCAUCCCUUGACGGUAUCUAACCAGAAAGCCACGGCUAACUACGUGCCAGCAGCCGCGGUAAUACGUAGGUGGCAAGCGUUGUCCGGAUUUAUUGGGCGUAAAGCGAGCGCAGGCGGUUUCUUAAGUCUGAUGUGAAAGCCCCCGGCUCAACCGGGGAGGGUCAUUGGAAACUGGGAGACUUGAGUGCAGAAGAGGAGAGUGGAAUUCCAUGUGUAGCGGUGAAAUGCGUAGAUAUAUGGAGGAACACCAGUGGCGAAGGCGGCUCUCUGGUCUGUAACUGACGCUGAGGCUCGAAAGCGUGGGGAGCAAACAGGAUUAGAACCGGGGAGGUCUCACACAAAAAACGGACCAACCAAAAGCGGAACC
RNAcentral lists this ribosomal RNA (820 nucleotides) under Enterococcus lactis. RNAcentral's name for it is "bacterial SSU rRNA". It matches the Rfam family "Bacterial small subunit ribosomal RNA", at positions 35 to 829 of the family's 1533-position model. Lineage: Bacteria; Bacillati; Bacillota; Bacilli; Lactobacillales; Enterococcaceae. The record is from RNAcentral.